AUUGAACGCUGGCGGUAGGCCUAACACAUGCAAGUCGAACGAGUGGCGGACGGGUGAGUAAUGUCUGGGAAACUGCCUGAUGGAGGGGGAUAACUACUGGAAACGGUAGCUAAUACCGCAUACCAUCAGAUGUGCCCAGAUGUGUUUAGCUAGUUGGUGGGGUAACGGCUCACGAAGGCGACGAUCCCUAGCUGGUCUGGGAGGAUGACCAGCCACACUGGUACUGAGACACGGUCCAGACUCCAAGGGGAGGCAGCGGUGGGGAAGAUUGCACAAUGGGCGCAAGCCUAAUGCAGCCAGGCCGCGUGUAUGAAGAAGGCCUUCGGGUUGUAAAGUACUUUCAGCGGGGAGGCGUUACCCGCAGAAGAAGCACCGGCUAACGCCGUGCCAGCAGCCGCGGUAAUAC
Molecule: ribosomal RNA, 406 nt
Filed under: uncultured bacterium
Lineage: Bacteria
Description: partial 16S ribosomal RNA
Rfam family: Bacterial small subunit ribosomal RNA
Source: RNAcentral